This 467-nucleotide ribosomal RNA is filed under the name uncultured bacterium. RNAcentral describes it as "partial 16S ribosomal RNA". It matches the Rfam family "Bacterial small subunit ribosomal RNA", at positions 29 to 507 of the family's 1533-position model. The record is from RNAcentral.
ACGAACGCUGGCGGCGUGCUUAACACAUGCAAGUCGAACGGAAAGGCCCUGCUUUUGUGGGGUGCUCGCGUGGCGAACGGGUGAGUAACACGUGAGUAACCUGCCCUUGACUUUGGGGUAACUUCAGGAAACUGGGGCUAAUACCGGAUAGGAGCUCCUGCUGCAUGGUGGGGGUUGGAAAGUUUCGGCGGUUGGGGAUGGACUCGCGGCUUAUCAGCUUGUUGGUGGGGUAGUGGCUUACCAAGGCUUUGACGGGUAGCCGGCCUGAGAGGGUGACCGGCCACAUUGGGACUGAGAUACGGCCCAGACUCCUACGGGAGGCAGCAGUGGGGAAUAUUGCACAAUGGGCGGAAGCCUGAUGCAGCAACGCCGCGUGCGGGAUGACGGCCUUCGGGUUGUAAACCGCUUUCGCCUGUGACGAAGCGUGAGUGACGGUAAUGGGUAAAGAAGCACCGGCUAACUACGUG